GACGAACGCUGGCGGCGUGCUUAACACAUGCAAGUCGAACGGAGUGGCGAACGUGCGCGUAACACGUGGGUGCUCUGCCUUGCACUUCGCGAUAAGCUUGGGCAACUGGGUCUAAUACCUGAUAGUGCAAGCUGACCUCGCGGCCUAUCAGCUUGUGGGUGGGGUAAUGGCCUACAAAGGCGUCGACGGGUAGCCGGCCUGAGAGGGUGUACGGCAACAUUGGGACUGAGAUACGGCCCAGACGCCUAAGGGAGGCAGCAGUGGGGAAUAUUGCACAAUGGGCGGAAGCCUGAUGCAGCGACGCCGCGGGGGGGAUGAAGGGCUUCGGGUUGUAAACAGCUUUCGACAGGGACGCGGUAGCUGGAUAGGAAGCACCGGCUAACUACGUGCCAGCAGCCGCGGUAAUUC
Molecule: ribosomal RNA, 408 nt
Filed under: uncultured bacterium
Lineage: Bacteria
Description: partial 16S ribosomal RNA
Rfam family: Bacterial small subunit ribosomal RNA
Source: RNAcentral